Molecule: non-coding RNA, 23 nt
Filed under: Arabidopsis thaliana (thale cress)
Lineage: Eukaryota; Viridiplantae; Streptophyta; Magnoliopsida; Brassicales; Brassicaceae
Source: RNAcentral
CUGAGAAGGAUAGGUGGUAGGUA